UGGUCUCCUGGCUUGGCGACGGCGGCGGCUCGGUUUGCUGGCGCUAAGCAAGCCCAAGACAAGUCAUUUAUUUCUGGACUAGAUUAUUUCAUUAUAGUAACUCAUCAGAAAACUGAGAUAAGCAGAGCAAGCUGCCUUCAGGAAUCACACAUUCUGUUCCCUUCAUCCAUGCGUUAUUUUUCAAAAGCCUUCCGGGGAACAGAGCUACACCAUAUACUUUGUUCACAAAAGAGUGGAGAUUAGGAUUGAGGAAGGAGCUGACUUCUGAAAGUGGGAGCAAAAUUAUCUUGGUCAACUGCUGAGCUCCCAAAGAGGAUAACCACAUUCUGGGAGGACUCUAGGCUUAGUAUUUAAGCAUAGUGGGCUUAUAGAAGAAAAUCUUCAGAAUGGCAAGUAGAGGUGGGGAAAUUCUUCUUUGUCUUACUCAGUUUCCCUACCCACUCCUGCCCUAAAGAAGUAGGAUUAUUGAUUGGUGAAUUUGGAAAGAAAACUGGCAUUCCUCUUCCAGUCUCCUCCUCUCUCCUUGGGGAGUUAGCCUGCCCUCCCAUACUGCACAUGUUCUGCUUACUUUUGUGCCACAGCACAAAAGAGAGGUGGCCUGUGGCUUUCCAGCUCUCCCUAUGAUUUAGUGGUAGUCUGCCUAUUUUCAAGGUUCAUUAUUAUUGCAUAAAGAGGGGAGCUGCAUUCCCCAGCAUCAGCUUUAUUAGCAAUAAAGGAAAUGAGAUGGU
RNAcentral lists this long non-coding RNA (728 nucleotides) under Homo sapiens (human). Its description in RNAcentral is "HSALNT0080870". Lineage: Eukaryota; Metazoa; Chordata; Mammalia; Primates; Hominidae. The record is from RNAcentral.